RNAcentral lists this long non-coding RNA (9824 nucleotides) under Marmota monax (woodchuck). Lineage: Eukaryota; Metazoa; Chordata; Mammalia; Rodentia; Sciuridae. The record is from RNAcentral.
UUUUUCCUGCCCUCAGUUUCUUAAGUUAGAAAUGCAUUUAAACAAUGACCAAGUCAUGCUGCAACAGGCACUGGGAACAAAUGAACAACUGCAGCAAGAAAUAGCUAAGCUUGGGUCUGAAAUCCCAACACUGAAAAAAGAGUGAGGCCAAUAAUGCUCAAAAGGGUGAGUUGAUAAAAAUUUUUAAUAACUCCACUGUGUAUUCUAUGUCUGCUGUUUUAUCCUUGCUUUUCACAGAACACAUCAAUGCUUGGUUUUAGGGAAAACAUCAUAAAACAAUUAUUUGCCAUUUCUAAUUAUGUAUUAUUUGGAAAGUGUCCAGAAGCAAAUGUAUCAUACUUUUUUUAAAAAAACUAUUGGGCUGUAAAAUAAUUAGAGAGAUGAAAUCUAAUUAACAUAAUAAAACAAAUAUCUGACUUAAAAUGAGUUUUACAAUUAACCCAAAAUGUUGUAGCUAGACCUUCUUAAACUCUAAGUGGCAUUGAACCUGUUGAUGUCAUUGAAAAUACACUGCUGCUUUUUAAUUAUUUCAGGGGAUAAACAACUUAAUCUUCCUCCAACUAUUGUAUUAAUUUUGCCCCCAAGUAACUCAGUGAUCAUCUUUCCUCUACAAUUAAAAGCAAGGUUUUCUUUAUAAAAUCUUGCCAAAAUGAGACUUUUUCUUCUGUUCAUGAGAUGACUAAAACUCUUCAGAGAUUUGAAGAUGAUAGAAAUAUCACCAAACAUGACUAUAACUCUUUCAAUCAAAUACUGCUGUGAUGCUUCCAUGUGAAGGUAUAGGGUUAAAAUGAUAAUUUUUUUAUGCUAUGUGUAUCUCCCACAACAAAAGGAUAAAAACAUUAUGCAAUGAUCACCUGGGAACCUACCACCAACUUCAGGAAAAAAGAAGACUAGAUUCAUCUUCUGAGAGUCCUCCUAGGAUCCAUUGCUCCCCCAUUCCUUCACAGUCCAUCCCUGUCCUGAUGUGAAAUUUUCUUGUAUUGUUCCCUUGCUUUGCUUUUCAGCCUUGCACAGUAAAGGACUUUAUAAAUGGAACCUCUUCUGUGUGCGUUUCUGAAACAGCUUUUUUGUUCAAUCUUUAGUUCCAGAUCAAUUCAUCCUGUUACAUGUUGCUAUACUUCCUUUAUUUUCAUGGCUAGAUAAUAUUCCAUCCCAUGAACAUACCACCAUCUACUUGUUCAUUUACUGAAUAAGUGAGUGAAUCUGUUAAUGGAUAUUUAGGUUGCUUUCCUUUUUAUCCUUUUUGUUAUCAUUACACAGGUUGCUGUGAAUCAUUCAUCUCCUUAUGUACAUGGACAAAAUUGUCUCUAUGGCUGUUUAUGAGUAAAACGUUUCUCUUUAAUGCCAAAUUGCUUCCCAGAUCUACCUCUUCGGCAUUCCACCAGCCUUGUGUAAGUGCCAGGGUUACUCCAUAUUCUCACUGGGCUUAUAAUGUUUUGCCAGUCUGGCUUAUGUAAUAUGACAGCUCAUUAUGGUUUUAAUAUUCAUCUCCCUGAUUUCUAAUGAGGCUGUGUAUCUUUUCCUUCUUAUCAGCCCUUUGUGUCUUCCCGUUAGGGGAAAGCCUAUUCAGUCCUUUUGUUGGUUUCACUUUUGGGUUCUUUGUCUUUUUCUAAUUAGUUUGCAGAAGUUUCUUUGGUGAGUGAUAAACACUGUAAGUCUUUUUUCUCCCAAGUUGUGACUUCUCUUUUGUUCUUUCUGGUCUCUGCAUUGGCUAUUCUUUUAAAAGCCAUGUGGAUGAUCUCAUGAGGGAAGGAAUAAAAACUUAGUUUUCGGAAUCUAGACUCUUCCUUGUUGUGUUACAAACCAUGUAGAGUCUAUCAUCCUGGAAAGCUGAAUUGUGUUUCUCUUGACUAAAGGUAGUAACUAUAUCCCAGCAUUUAGCUGCAUCUCUGUCAUCAUUAGGCAGCAUUUUAAUAGUAGCUUAGUCGUGCUGGAACAAAUGACUACUCCACUAAUAUCCCUAUCACAUUGUACCUCAGUUAUUCAAGAAGCCAUAACAACCUGACAGACACAUGACUGCCUUUUGCCCAAGACAAGAAUGUGUUGCAGACAUUCCAGGUUCCUACAAUGGGAGCACAGACUUUUUAGACAUACCUGUUUCCAAAACCUUCUUCUCCAUUUUCCAAAUGGAUGAGGUUAGAUAAGAUCUAUAGGCUUCAAUUUUCUUUUCUCUGUACUGGGACUAAUGAUAGCUAGCUUGGAGGGUUUUUGAGUAGAUUUAAUUAGAUUCUCUAUUUGGAGAACACAUCAUUUAAUAUAUGCUCAGGAAAUGGCAGAUAUUUUGGGGUACCAGGGAUUAAACUCAGGGGCAGUAGACCACUGAACCACAUCCCCAGUCCUGUUUUGUAUUUUAUUUAGAGACAGGGUCUCACUCAGUUGCUUAGCACCUUGCCAUUGCUGAGGCUGGCUUUGAACUCGAGAUCCUCCUGCCUCAGCCUCCAGAGCCCUGGGAUUACAGACACGUGCCACCAAGCCCAGCAUAAAUGACUGUUAUUAGUGGUAUUAUAAUUGUAAAAUUCAUGGAUAUAUCAAGAAUCACUAUACAUAGAUAUUUCCAUGUUAUAAAAACAAAGGGGUAUACAUCUAAACUCAAGGGAAGGUAGAAUUGGAAUCAGAGCUCAGAGCUACAAGUAGCAGGACUUGAUUCUUGCCACAGGACAAUGAUUGUUGCCACAGUGACAGGGCUAGGACCCUAAGAGGGAAGUAAGGUACCGAUGUUCUUAUCUUCUCAAUUUGCUCUUCUAAUUCCUAUUGUAUUCUAGCUUAAUGCAGUUGCUCCACUUUAAGAAAUAGAGUAACAAGAAAAUCCAUGGCGCUAGAGCAGGGGCUUAUUCUCUUCCUACAUAGGAGGAGCUCUUUAGAAGCCAGGCUGGAAUUCUUUCUCAUCUCUUUGCCCAUGUUGAGCUCAUGUGCAGCACAGAGAUCUUUUGAUUUAUCCCUAAACUAUGAAUGAAAUGACAUUAUUACUGCCCAUGAGGAGUGUAAAACUCACUGGGAAGAAAGCAUUCCUGUAAAGAAAGGAGAGUAAUGAAGAAAAGGUAAUUGUCCAACUGUGGGUUUUAUUUUCAUAGUUACAUCCUAUAGGAAAUUAAUUGAUAUAGUGAAAUAAUUAUUAAUUGAAAUUGGUUAUAUUUUCAAAAUUUGCCACUUAUUUUAAAGAGUGUUCUCCCACCCCCCCCCCAUAUUUUGUUUUCUAUACAAGUGUCACAAGUGGUGGUCCAAUCUGAUAACUUUUUAGCUUCAAAUUAAUUUUCUUUGUGCUCAUCAUUAUGUUCAAAAGGGGGUGUUCACUGGGUUGACAGGAAAGGUGGAUCAAUUUUUUGCCAUGUUAAAUCAACUGACAUGCCCAAGGUCACCUCCCGAUAGGGAAUCAUUCUCACAGACAGAGCUGAAGUAUUUAGACUUGUGGUUCUGUACUUCUUCAUCUCACCGAUUUUUCCAGCUGAAGUGAAGAUCUAUUUUUGUCUGGAGAGUUUAAGUAAGGUGUGAGGCUAGUGAUGGAAUGAAUGGCUCUCACAGGGAACAAGAACUCCAGCUUCUCAGUGACAGCCUGUGCCUGCCUCUCCCCCAGGAUGCUUUCCUGCUUAUCAAAGGAAUGAAGACAAGUGGACUUAGGUCCCACUGUGCUGUAGUGCCUUUGAAAAUGCCUGUGAAAUAUAAAUCAGUGUUUCCAUUUCUGAAGAAAUAGCAAGAAAACUGUAGUCCAAAAGGAGAGUUGAAGAAAAUAAAUUGGCAAGACCCUUUUACGAGUCAUUUUUCUAAAAGAUACCCAGAAAGAAAAACAAACAAACAAAAACAAAAGCAUCUAUUAUUCCAUUACAUGAUUUUUGGAUAUAUCUCUACUUAUACAAUUUGUUCUGAAACAAAGAUAUUAUGCUUUUCCAAAUGGCAAAUGUUGCUAUAAACACCCAGCUAGCAAAACCCUCCUCUUGUAAUUUUUAGAUCACCUCAUUUCCAAGAAUAAUACUGCAAUGGAGGGACAGCUUGUCAGGGUGACAGCCAUCACUCACUCAACAAUUGGAAAGAUGUGCUGAGCACUGUCCAAGUUCAGGGCAGGAUGCUUGUUGUCUAGCCAGGAAAUGAGGCUUCUGAUAUUCUAGUUGGCCAUUAAAGAAUGCACACCCCACCCCCAACACACACACUCACACACUCACACACAUACCCUGCUGAAAUACGUGUGGUAGCUCCCUGCUGAGUAAACAUUAUCAUCAUGCCAAAGGCACCCCUGAAAGUCCUUCCUGAGGUCAUUGUAGUAUGUGUCCCACCUCUGACCACAGCUAAAAGCAACUGAAUAUAGCUGGCCUGUCUCCACUGCCUAAAGAGGGAACUGAUUUUAGAAAAAAAUAUUCCAGUAAAAAUAGACACCCGUAAAAUAAGAUUAACCCAGAGUAUUGAUUUCUACUAUAAUUCUUGUCUUUGAAGUAAAUCAUUCAAACGAGAUUAGAAGCACCUCUAAUGUUUUCACAUAAUCAAGUAUUUUUCUUAUUUGUUUCCUCCUAAAAUAGUAGUUUACUAUGGAAUUAAUUUUUGAAUCUGAAUUUGUUUUAUAUGUGAGAAAGUAAAGAGGAUCUAUUCCAUGCUGAUCGGUCCACCAGAAGAAAAAAAAAAAUCCCACUAGAAAGACUUGUUACAAUUUUCCAAAGGAUCUGUCACCACUGGUGUGUUUACCAGAGUGCCCUAAUUCUGAUAAAGACAACUAUUUAGGUUCUUUGCCCUGACUUUGUUCUUUCACUAUGGAAGAUGUUGUCACCUUGUUAUUGGUACUCCUUUGACUAUUUGACCAAUGUCCAUCAAGUUUCCAGACAGAGAAAUGUUUACAUAGGCUAUGCCUUCUCCCUGUGGAUGGAUAUGUCAAUUCUUAGCAUUGAAAUGUCAGAGAGCUAUUGUGCUAAAAGAUGAGGGACUCCAAAUGGCAGGUGGAUGGUGGUUGUUUUUUCAAUUUUUUUUUUAUGAUGUUGAGCUAGAAGGUGGGCAUAUGCCUUUGUCCCUCUCCACUCAUUACUGGAUUCUAGUUUCUUUCUCAACAUGCAAAGUGUCUUUGGGGGGAUCCUCAGGAAGUUGGAAGUGUGUUACAAGUGCAUAAACCACAGGCCCCAUCUGGGUCUAGUGAGUUGGAACCCACAGUUUAGCAAAAUAUCCAUAUAACUUAUAUGCACAUUAAAGUUUGAGAAGUGUUUCCCUACCAUAUGCACAUAUAUCAAAGAAUACACCCAUAUUCUCUUUUUUACCUUAUUUUUGCCCUAUUACUAAAAGCCUUUCCAAAUAUUAAAUUAAAUUAUAUAUUUAAUUACACAAUACGUAGGACACACAAGUUAGAUUCUGCCUUUUCUUUAUUUUAACUAAUUAAUUUAUUUGUUCUAAUCAGUUACGCACGACAGUGGAAUGCUUUUUGAUUCAUUGUACACAAAUGGAGCACAAUUUUUCACUUCUCUGGUUGUACACAAAAUAGGGUCACACCAUUCAUGCAAUCAUACAUGUACCUAGGGUAACGAUGUUUGUCUCAUUCCACCAUCUUUCCUGCCCCAUUCCCCUUCCUUUUUCUCCUUCUCCUUUGCCCAGAGUUCCUCUCUUUUUCCCAUGUCUGCCCCCCCCCCCCGCCCCCUUAUGGAUCAGCAUCCAUUUAUCAGAGAGAACAUUUGGCCUUUGGUUUUGAGGGAUUAGCUUACUUCUCUUAGCAUGAUAUUCUCCAACUCCAUUUAUUUCUGAAAAUGCCAUAAUUUUAUUCUCUUUUAUUGCUGAGUAAUAAUCUAUUGUGUAUAUAUACCACAGUUUCUUUAUCUAUUCAUCUAUUGAAGGAUAUAUAGGUUGAUUUCACAGUUUGGCUAUUGUGAAUUGUGCUGCUAUAAACAUCGAUGUGGUUGUGCCACUGUAGUAUGCUGUUUUUAAGUCCUUUGGGUAUAGACCAAGGAGUGGAAUAGCUGGGUCAAAAGGUGGUUCCAUUCCAAGAUUUUUUAAAAAUAUUUUUUAGUUGUUUAUGGACCUUUAUUUUAUUUAUUUGUAUUCAGUGCUGAGAAUUGAACACAGUGCCACAAGCGUGCUAGGCAAGUACUCCACUACUGAGCCACAACCCCAGUCCCCAUAAUAAAUUUUUUAAGGAAUCUCCAUACUACUUUCCAGAUUGGUUGCUCCAAUUUGCAGCACUACUAGCAAUGUAUGAAUGUGCUUUUCCACCCACAUCUUCGCCAACACUUAUUGUUUCUUGUAUUCUUGAUAACUGCCAUUUGACUGGAGUGAGAUGGAAUCUUAGAGUAGUUUUACUAGAGAUGUUGAACAUUUUUUCAUAUUUGUUGAUUGAUUGUAUAUCUUCUUCUGAGAAGUGUCUGUUCAGUUCCUUAGCCAAUUUACUGAUUGGGUUGUUUGUUUUAUUGAAGCUAAGUGUUUUGAAUUUUUUAUAUAUCCUGGAAAUUAGUGCUCUCUCUGAUGUGCAUAUGGUAAAAAUUUGCUUCCAUACUGUAGGCUCUCUCUUUACCUCAUUGAUUGCUUUUUUUCUUCUGAGAAGAAUCUUUUUAAUUUGUAGAUUCUGCCUUUUCUAGUGGAUCAUGAAGUCAGGGUUGAAAAAAGACAUAGCACAAAGAUAGGACUAUCCAUGGGUGUUUAGACAUGAAUCUUAGGCAUUCUGACUCUUUAUAUUGAAAAAUAUAUUCUUAAUUAGCACUAGUCUAGUCAAAAUUAUUGACUAAAUAUGAUAUUCAUUAAAUUAAUAACAAAAGUCAAAUAUUAGAGUUAACAUUCUUUUUUUACCUCUGAAUUUUUGUGGUUUGUGCUAUUGUUAGUGUCACAAUCACUAUCAUACUGGGAAAGAAUCAUAUCAAUUUAAACCUCGUGAAAAUAGGCUAAUAAAUAUCAAAGUUUGGAAAGGUUUUUUUUUUAUUUGUUUAUUUUUGUGUGUAUGUGUGGUGCUGGGGAUUGAACCUAGGGCUUCUAUCAACUGAGCUAUAUCCUUAUCCCUGGGAAGGUUCUUAAAGCUAAUAGUUUCAGCAUAUGAAAUCUUAAUAAAAUUGUUCUUCUCUCUUUUUUCCAAGGUGAUUUUUUGCAUUGUGUAUGCCUGUAGAACAAUGGACCUGGGUUAUUUCGGGGUGAAUGUCGCAAUUGUACAAGCUGAAGCCACUUUCAGAAUCCUGGGACAGUCUUGUCCUUUGACCACCACAGGAUAACAACAGUGAUGGUGAUACCAACUCAAAUCUCUGCAAGCACAUUAUAUUAGAUGUGCCCUAAUAGUUUCUGAAAUUUUAUGAAAACAAAAUGCUCACAAAUAACAAGCAAACUGGCAAAUUAUAUUACUCUAGUAUCCUAUGAUAAAAAGUGCAGUUCCUGUAUAUGAAUCACUAUUAAUUAAUUACUUGGCAUAUAUUACCUCCAAUUGUGUUAUGUGGAAGCCAUUAUUCUUUUUAUAAAUUAGAACAUUAUACUUAUUCAUAAUAUUUGGCUUCCUUUUAACAAAAUUAUACAUAAAAGGAAUUUUAUUUCAAUCCCCAUCCCCCCUUCUUUCCUUUUUCCUCUCCAUUUUCUCCCUCCUUUACUGAUCUUCCGUUCUUUUUUUAAAAAAAUAUUUUUUGGUUGUUGUUGGACCUUUAUUUUAUUUGUUUAUUUAUAUGCAGUGCUAAGAAUCAAACCCAGUGCCUCACACAUGCUAGGCAAGUGCUCUACCAACGAGCUACAACCCUAGCUCCUUUUGAUUUGUUUUUGAUUGGUACUUUCUACAUAUAAAUAAAGGUGAAUAGAGAUUUUGUUAGAUGUAUUCCACAUUUCCUCCCCUCUCCUUUCCUUCCUCCUCCCUCUCAUCUCCUACUUCUACUGAUCUUCCCUAUAUCUUCAUGAGAUCCAGUCCCUUCAUGAGAUCCACUGCCUUCAUUCCCUUAUUUUGCUCUAGCUCUAACAUAUGAGAGAAAACAUUUGACCUUUGAUUUCUCUGAAGUCUGGCUUAUUUCACUUAUGAUUUUCUCUAUUUCCAUUCAUUUACUGGCAAAUGCUAUUAUUUCAUUCUUCUUUAUGGCUGAGCAAAACUUCAUUAUGAAUAUAUACCGCAUUUUCUUGAGCCAUUCAUCUGUUGAUGGGCAUCUGGAUUAAUUCCAUAAUUUGGCUAUUGUGAAUUGAGCUGCAAUAAACAUUAUAGACACUAUUUUCCCAUAGUAUGCUGAUUUAAGUUCUUUUGGACAAAUACCAAGGAGUGGAACAGCUGGAUAAUAUGGUAGUUCCAUUCCUAGUUUGUUGAUGAAUCUUCAUAGUUUUUUCCAAAGUGGUUGUACUAAUUUGCAGUCCCACCAACAAUGUAUGAGUGUACCUUUUCCCCACUUCUUCACUAACAUUGAUAAUUAUUUAUAUUCUUUUUUUUUAAAAAAAUAUAUUUUUAGUUGUUGUUGGACACAUGCCUUUAUUUUAUUUAUUUUUAUGUGGUGCUGAGGAUCAAACACAGUGCCUCGCACGUGCUAGGUGAGCGCUUUACCGCUGAGCUACAACCCCAGCACCUAAUUAUAUUCUUGAUAACUGCCAUUCUGACUGGAGUGAGAUGAAAUCUUAGUACAGUUUGAUUUGCAUUAUUCUUAUUUUAAAUAAUCCAAGGUUCAUGAAAAUGAAACAGUGUUUCUAAGAUUGUGUAAAUGAAUGAUGGAGCUCCUAUGCACACUGAGGUCUUUACCUCCCACAAACCUUUGCUUCGCUAAGCUACGGAGCUCCCAAGCACUUGACAUGUAAUGCAUGAUUGCUGUUUUAGGCAACAAAGAAAGUCAGCUGCAUGUAGAGAACUCCUGUGGAACUCUGCACCUCUGACCCACUGUAGAGCCACCAAAGUCCUGGGCACUUCUGGCUAACAGUAAAAUUCUGAUUGACUUUCUAGGUGGUGGUGAUCCUGGGUCUGCAAGGACCUACCUGUGUUGCUUAUAGGGAGAGUGUGUGAUUUGUCAAUUUAUUUCAACAUCUACAGUUCAUUUAAUCAGUGCAGCUCUUAUAUUCUAUUUUCUUCAAGAUUUUUCUCUAUAGUGGUUCUUUUAAUUUUUAUAUCAGUCCCCUCUAUUGGUCUCCUUCACUUGUAUGGGCAUAACUCAAGUCAUCCCAUCCUCCUUCCUGAAAAUAAAUAAAUAAAUAAAAAUCAAGCAGCACUAAGAAACAUAUUUUUCUUCUUUCUCUCAGUCAAUCAAUCAAUCAGUCUUCCUCACUCCAUUCAAUCAAUUGAUCAGUCUUCAAUCUUCCUUCCUCCAUCCCCAGCCUUGUCUCUCUCUGAUACUGGGAAGCAAUUUACUACUAAUCUAUACCUCCAGCCUUUUUAAAAAAAAAAUUGAGAAAGGGUCUUUCUAAAUUGAUGAGGCUCUUCUCCAACUUGCAGUCCUCCUGUCUCAGCCUCCUACAUUGCUGGGAGUAUUUUCUUUGACUCUGGUUCUCCCCAUACUAUUGCUCCAUUCUAAUGUAUCCUUUUACCCUUUCUAUUUCUUUAAACAGUGGCUUCCUCACUCUCUGUCUAUAAAUCAUUAUUUUUCAUUCUCUUUUGAACCCACUGCCCUCUGGUUUUCUUCUCUACCACUCACUGAAUCUAAUUUAACCAAGUUUCAUGAUACUGAGAUUCAGUAGCCUUCUUUUUGGAGGAAAAUGAACAAGGAAAGGGACUGUAAAUAACAUUUAUGGAAAACCUAAUCAGAGCCAUCUUUCUGCACUGAAUUCUGUUUUCUCAUCAAAUCCUCAUAGUAACAUUGUACUAUUGUACAUUAUUGUCAUUAUUAUUAUUAUUUAAGCUUCAGAAACAGGUUCAGGGCAUUCAACUAAAAGAAGGUACAGAACUGAUUCAAACUAGUUCUGCCUGAUUCAAUAUCCCAUAUUUUUUAAUUAUACAAAGC